UUUCGUAAUAAAGAAUAACUACUCUUUACUUUUCUCAUACAUAUUUCUCUGAUACUCACAUUCGCUUCAGUCUAGGUGAAAAAUAUUCCGAUCCUAGUGAUAAGGUCACGUAAAUCAAAUAUUGGUAGGUAAUAAAAUCUCGGAGCGCCUGUGUCAGAGAUAUCCGAUAUUACGUUUUACAUAAAAUAAAUAAAUGUGCACUAUGUACUUUUAUGUUAGCAUAUUUUCUCCUGAUGAAAAUACAUAGUAUUUUAAGACAAAAAAUCAUCGUUGUCACAUUGCAAUCACAACAAUUCAAAGUUUGCAAACAAAAAAUAGGUUAAUAUUAAACACUAAAACAGUCCCUUUUCUUAACACGUUCUUAUUAGCUUCGUAUGUAUCUAACGGAAUAUUUGAACAACAUCUUCACCGACUUUAAGACGUUUGAUCAGCUUGAAAAUUUGCCAUGCGUCAAGGACCAAUGAUAGGGCAAUCAUUUUAUAGCUUCGUUCCAAUAUCCUGUCAACAGGAUAAAAAAGGAUGAAAUGAAUUUGUUAGAUAUGUUUAGGCUAGAUGUGUUUUUUUUUGUUUUUAAAACUACGUAUAUUAUUUAAGCAUCAAAAAUGUUCUCUACCCCUGUCGUGGCGUGCAACCUCUUUGACAGGACAUUAGAACUACAACGACUACACAUAGACACAGACUUAGACAGAGACUUGACAAGAAUUCGAAAAAAAAUGGAACGAGGGCGUAUGUGAUUCAGCGGCACGCUGUACAUUUUUUGACGUCCUUAAAAAAAGACACAAAAAGACAAAAAAGAACGAAGCGACCGUUCUCAUAUACAUAUAAAAAUAGUCGACAAAAGAACGAAUUGACCGUUCAACUGAUCCUUCGAACGUUCAAGUGGUAAUCGACCGUUCAUCCCCCAAAUAAGGAGUUUUCAUAUUAUUCGAAGAGGAUCGAGGGCUGUUAAAAAAAGCUGGAUAAUGUUAAUUUGGCAUAUUUUUAAUCUUUAUUGUUUCAUUCAUGUUACUGGAUUCACUAAUUAUCAAUCUAAGAAACGAUAGAGAAGAGAAAUACUUAAAAAACGCAAAUGACAAAUUUUUGCGCGACAUUUAAAAGUGAUUUUGGUUAAUAUACACAUGUACAUUCAUUAGAAUAAAUAUUUCUGAUGUGUCUAA
Molecule: long non-coding RNA, 1157 nt
Organism: Bombyx mori (domestic silkworm)
Lineage: Eukaryota; Metazoa; Arthropoda; Insecta; Lepidoptera; Bombycidae
Exons: 2
Source: RefSeq, a predicted model, not a curated record